GUACUCCGCAUCGGCACAUCCAUCUCGGUUGGCUCCGGGGCCUCGACCCUGUUCUGGUUUAACCGUUGGCUAGGGGACUUCCCCCUGGCUGCGUGAUUCCCAGAACUCUUUGCAAUUGCGUCCGACCCUCGGGUCUCUGUCGAGACGGCCCUUAUUGACUUAGGGCGUCUCGCCUUCCGGCGCCCAUUUGGCCCCCUCGAGAUGGCUGCUUGGGACUCCCUCCUCCAAGACAUCGCCCUUAUGUCGAUGAACAUCGAGGAGGACCGGGAUGCCCUUUCCUGGCGCCUUGAGCCGCCUGGCCGUUUCUCCACGAAGUCCCUGUACGCCGCCAUUGCGCCCUCGGCGGCCCCGGAACCCUUUAGCCUGAUCUGGGACAUCCGCCUACCUCUGAAGAUCAGGAUUUUCCUGUGGCAAUGGAUCCGUGGA
Molecule: ribosomal RNA, 426 nt
Filed under: Triticum aestivum (bread wheat)
Lineage: Eukaryota; Viridiplantae; Streptophyta; Magnoliopsida; Poales; Poaceae
Description: partial small subunit ribosomal RNA
Source: RNAcentral